Long non-coding RNA from Gadus macrocephalus (Pacific cod), 825 nucleotides. RefSeq lists it as uncharacterized. The record is from RefSeq and is a predicted model, not a curated record. Lineage: Eukaryota; Metazoa; Chordata; Actinopteri; Gadiformes; Gadidae. The transcript has 2 exons.
GUGUGUGGUUUUAUUAUUAUUGUUUCUUGUUGCUGUUCCAAAAUGCUCUCUCUUUCUCCAGAUCUGCUGUUGCAGAUGAUAAUGUUUUGUUUCAUGUCUGCUGUUGCAGAUUGUCAUGUUUUGUUUUAUAUCUGCUCUUCCAGACACAUGACUACCACUUCACAGGGGAGAAAAGCGUGCCAACACCUCUGUCGUGGACCAGUGUUCUGCAGUCGUGGACCAAGGACACAGGGGAUUCGCCCGGAACCCACUGACCAACUUGUGGUCAGGAAACCCAAGGUUUGGGUUAGGUGUUUUAUUUUAGCACAUACAUGGACACAUACCUCCUGAAUGCCAAGUAAAUAUGGCCGAGGGAUACACACACCCCAUUACAUUUAUUUAUUUCUGUUAAAUGUAUAUAUGUAAAUAUUUAUGUAUAUAUGUAAAUUUGAUUUAUAAUAUUUAAUCAAAGAAUUGGAAACGAACAUUCCUGAACAUUUGUUUAAGGUAACACACUCUGAGCACCUUUAAAACAAGCCUGAAGACUUUUAUGUUUGCAUUAGCUUUCUGCUACAUCUUAAAUACAUUGCACUUUCUAAAGCUUUUUUAAUUUUGCCUUUAUUUUCUAUUUUAAUACUAAAAUGCCUUUAACUUUCUAUUUUACUCAUUUCUCUGCAUAUUUUUUCUUUUACUUAUCUAUUUUAUUGUAUGACAAUGUUUGUAUGUGAAGCACUUUGAGUCUGCCCUUGUGUAUGAAAAGUGCUAUAUAAAUAAAGUUGCCUUGCCUAACACACAGAACAUUUCAUUUCUUUCUGUUAAAUGUAAAUAUGUAUAUAUGUAAAUUUA